Molecule: long non-coding RNA, 727 nt
Organism: Salvelinus sp. IW2-2015
Lineage: Eukaryota; Metazoa; Chordata; Actinopteri; Salmoniformes; Salmonidae
Source: RefSeq, a predicted model, not a curated record
AUUGUUCUUCAACUGUAGUGUAUGGUAUACCAUUUUCUAGGUCUGAGUCUCUACUUUUUCCAAUGUAAAAAACAUGUAUCAAAUUGGAAUAUAGAUUAAUAAGACUGAAUCGACCCGGUAGGUCACGUUUGAGAGUGAGGCAGAUAUAUAGCAUUUUGCAAAAAAACAUGAUUUGUCUCUCUGAAAUGAACCAUCAAGUGAUAGAUUUUAAACAAAUACAUGUCUGUUAUUGCACAACCCCAUGCCAUGAUUAAAUAGUGAAAAAAUACACCAAUCUCUUUCACAAUUUCUUUAAACAAUAAAAUCUUAUUUACCAACAUUUCUGAACAGUGAUAAAUAGCGUAUUAGAAUUGAACUCUUAUGUUUUCCCAUCUGAGCUCAGAGUAGAUGAGAGAUGUAAUGUUUGUCUCUGUUGUGUUGAAGCCCAAUCAAGAGGAAGAGACCAGCCUCCCCUGUACCCAGCUGUGUGUCCAUGAAGAGUGACCAGUCUAUGGGUCAUCCUAUAACCUUUAGAGAGGGAGACUUUUCUACUGAACAAAGUGGUCCUGAUAUGCACGUCCUGAGGAAAAGGAACAAGAAGGAGCUUGCUGACACACUGGAGAAAUAUUCAGAUGAUCCUGCUGUGAUUUGCCAACGUGAACUCAAAUCUAAUCUAAAGAAGAAGUUUCAAUGUGUAUUUGAGGGGAUCGCUAAACAAGGAAACCCAACACUUCUCAAUAAGAUCUAC